Molecule: transfer RNA, 74 nt
Filed under: Culex quinquefasciatus (southern house mosquito)
Lineage: Eukaryota; Metazoa; Arthropoda; Insecta; Diptera; Culicidae
Description: tRNA-Tyr
Source: RNAcentral
GAUGUGAUGGCCGAGCGGGUUAAGGCGCCAGUCUGUAAUGUUGGAGCUGGGUUUGAAUCCCGUCGGUUGCAACU